RNAcentral lists this ribosomal RNA (253 nucleotides) under uncultured bacterium. Its description in RNAcentral is "partial 16S ribosomal RNA". It matches the Rfam family "Bacterial small subunit ribosomal RNA", at positions 524 to 776 of the family's 1533-position model. The record is from RNAcentral.
UACGAAGGGUGCAAGCGUUGUCCGGAUUUAUUGGGCGUAAAGCGCGUGUAGGUGGCCAAGUAGGUCCGCUGUGAAAACUUGAGGCUCAACCUCAAGCUGUCGGUGGAAACCCCUUGGCUAGAGUCCGGAAGAGGAGAGUGGAAUUCCUGGUGUAGCGGUGAAAUGCGCAGAUAUCAGGAAGAACACCAAUGGCGAAGGCAGCUCUCUGGGACGGUACUGACACUGAGACGCGAAAGCGUGGGGAGCGAACAGG